CUUGCGUCAGCCUCUGAGCCGGCAGCCAGAUGCUCUUCUUGCUUGAUGGUCAUCAUCCCAGAGGUGGGGAGUCACUGUAGUUUCCACAGAGGACUGACUGUACCAGCUGCUUUGCAUACAUCAUCUAUGAUUCCCUCGGUAUCUCCGCAAGGUUGGUGUUAUUAUCCACAAGUUCCGGAUGGGAGGAAAGACUCAGAGAAGUCAAGGAACACCCUCUGACUCACACAGCUGCUGGCUGGUGCUGACUGACUCCAGGGGCCCCUCUGUCUCCUUGGUGGGUUUCUGAGUGAUCCCAGGAUGUGAAGUAAGAGGGGCCUGUUUCCUCCUGAGCCUCAGAUGUGCACACUGAUCUGUCCCUCAGACCACCAUGAAUUUAGGAUGAGGAGGGUGAGCAGGGAAGUUUCUUCUGAUGGAGGCACAAGGCUUUCCUCAAUCUAAGUCUGGGGUGGAACUGACUCAUGGCCAUGGUUCUGGUUUCCCAACCUGUGGAGUGAGCAUCCUUGACGCUGCACCAGGAGUGAACGAUGGACUGGGAAAUUUUCUAGCAAUGGCAACCCACUCCAGUGUUCUUGCCUGGAGAAUCCCAGGGAAGGGGGAGCCUGGUGGGCUGCUGUCUAUGGGGUCGCACAGAGUCGGACACGACUGAAGUGACUUAGCAGCAGCAGCAGCGUAGUUUCUAGAGUAUAGGUAUCUGAGAUCAGUUUAAUAACAAUUAAGCCAGAAUAACAACUGAUGCUGAAGCUGAAGCUCCAAUACUUUGGCCACCUGAUGCUGACUCAUUGGAAAAGACCCUGAUUCUAGAAAAGGAGAAGAAGGCAAAAGGAGAAGGGGACGACGGAGGAUGAGAUGGUUGGACAGCAUCACCAACUCAAUGGACAUGAGUUUGUUGAGCAAACUCUGGGAGACAGUGAAGAACUCAGAAGCCUGGUACGCUUCAGCCCAUGGGGUCACAAAGAGUUGGACAUGACUCAGCGACUGAACAACAAGCCAGAAUAUGGAUAUUGAUGUAUUUCUCUCUAAUUCUGCUGUAAAUUAGUUUCAAAGCAGUUAACAGCAUUGAAUCCCAAUGCUUCAAAGUCUGAUUAGCUGCCUGCUUUUGACCGUUGGUCCUACACUUAAGAGGCCCUGAAUACAUAACCCCAAAGUAUGCCUCUUUGGUGUAUUUAUUAUUGUGAGCUGAAGACAAUUGGGAUACAGGAAGGGCUCUUUAUGCUCCCUCCCCCUUUCUUCUUAAAAAAAUUUAUUUUUAAAAUUUGUUUGGCUAUACUGCUUGGCAUGCAGGAUCUUAGUUCCCUGACCAGGGAUCAAACUCAUGCCUCCUGCAUUAACUUAACUGCUGGACAGCCAGGGAAGUCCCAACCCUCCCCCUUUCUACCUAAAAGCAGGUCUCCUAACAGUUCCCAUGAAAAAGAUAUCUCCUUAUAACAGAAGAGAACAUUCUUUUAUUUUUCUGUCUCCCAGUUUUCUUGAGAGAUAUUGACAUUAAACUUUGUAUAAGUUUACUGUGUACAAUGUGAUGACUCUGAAGAAUCUCCUUCGACUGGGAGCUGACUUAAACCAAAAUGGACCUGUAGUGAGAACCCCACUAGAGUGAGCCUGAUCUUUCACGAGUUCCUGCAGCAUAUUUCCUAGGUAUUGUCCCCCAAUUUGUACAGAUGACCACCUCCAGCUAGCUGUGCUGCAGGGCACUGUUGGGUCACCCCAAUUUGCUGCCCCUCACCAAAGCCCCUUCGCCUUGUGGCAUCACCGCAAUUCUUUGUUGUGUAAAAAGGAAUAUAAGCUUUUGACUCUAAUGACUUUCUCACGUCUUCAUUUUCUUUCUGAAGACUCCU
Molecule: long non-coding RNA, 1832 nt
Organism: Bos taurus (domestic cattle)
Lineage: Eukaryota; Metazoa; Chordata; Mammalia; Artiodactyla; Bovidae
Source: Ensembl